Molecule: ribosomal RNA, 469 nt
Filed under: uncultured bacterium
Lineage: Bacteria
Description: partial 16S ribosomal RNA
Rfam family: Bacterial small subunit ribosomal RNA
Source: RNAcentral
GACGAACGCUGGCGGCGUGCUUAACACAUGCAAGUCGAACGGAAAGGCCCUGCUUGCAGGGUGCUCGAGUGGCGAACGGGUGAGUAACACGUGGGUGAUCUGCCCCUUACUUUGGGAUAAGCCUGGGAAACUGGGUCUAAUACUGGAUAGGACCAUGCUGUAGGUGGUGUGGUGGAAAGAUUAGUUUCGGUAAGGGAUGAGCUCGCGGCCUAUCAGCUUGUUGGUGGGGUAAUGGCCUACCAAGGCGUCGACGGGUAGCCGGCCUGAGAGGGUGGACGGCAACAUUGGGACUGAGAUACGGCCCAGACUCCUACGGGAGGCAGCAGUGGGGAAUAUUGCACAAUGGGCGCAAGCCGGAUGCAGCGACGCCGCGUGGGGGAUGACGGCCUUCGGGUUGUAAACUCCUUUCAGCCAUGACGAAGCCCUUGUGGUGACGGUAGUGGUAGAAGAAGCACCGGCUAACUACGUG